GAUGAACGCUGGCGGCGUGCCUAAUACAUGCAAGUCGAGCGAACAGACGAGGAGCUUGCUCCUCUGACGUUAGCGGCGGACGGGUGAGUAACACGUGGAUAACCUACCUAUAAGACUGGGAUAACUUCGGGAAACCGGAGCUAAUACCGGAUAAUAUAUUGAACCGCAUGGUUCAAUAGUGAAAGACGGUUUUGCUGUCACUUAUAGAUGGAUCCGCGCCGCAUUAGCUAGUUGGUAAGGUAACGGCUUACCAAGGCGACGAUGCGUAGCCGACCUGAGAGGGUGAUCGGCCACACUGGAACUGAGACACGGUCCAGACUCCUACGGGAGGCAGCAGUAGGGAAUCUUCCGCAAUGGGCGGAAGCCUGACGGAGCAACGCCGCGUGAGUGAUGAAGGUCUUCGGAUCGUAAAACUCUGUUAUUGGGGAAGAACAAAUGUGUAAGUAACUAUGCACGUCUUGACGGUACCUAAUCAGAAAGCCACGGCUAACUACGUG
This 497-nucleotide ribosomal RNA is filed under the name uncultured bacterium. RNAcentral's name for it is "partial 16S ribosomal RNA". It matches the Rfam family "Bacterial small subunit ribosomal RNA", at positions 28 to 507 of the family's 1533-position model. The record is from RNAcentral.